AAAAAAUGUAAUUUAGAAAUUAAAGUAGUAAUAGUUAUGUUCUUGAAAUUUAAAGAUUUUGGCGGUAUUUUAGUCUUUUCAGAGGAAUCUGUUCUAUAAUUGAUAAACCACGAUUAAUAAUACUUAAUUAAGAAAUUUAUAUAUCAUCGUAGUUUGAAUAUUUUAAAAGAAUAAAAUGUUCAUAAUUUUUUAUUAAAAAAUAAAUCAGAUCAAGGUAUAGUUUAUAAUUAAGAAGAAAUGGAUUACAAUAAAUUUAUUUAUGGCUUUAAAUUUUCAAAAUUUAAUUAAAUUGGAUUUGAAAGUAAUUUUUUUUAUAAUUUAAAAAUGAUUUAGCUCUAAAAUAUGU
RNAcentral lists this ribosomal RNA (346 nucleotides) under Sericoderus sp. CO953. RNAcentral describes it as "partial 12S ribosomal RNA". The record is from RNAcentral. Lineage: Eukaryota; Metazoa; Arthropoda; Insecta; Coleoptera; Corylophidae.